GACGAACGCUGGCGGCGUGCUUAACACAUGCAAGUCGAACGGAAAGGCCCUGCUUUUGUGGGGUGCUCGAGUGGCGAACGGGUGAGUAACACGUGAGUAACCUGCCCUUUACUUUGGGGUAACUUCAGGAAACUGGGGCUAAUACCGGAUAGGAGCUCCUGCUGCAUGGUGGGGGUUGGUAAAUUUCGGCGGUUGGGGAUGGACUCGCGGCUUAUCAGCUUGUUGGUGGGGUAGUGGCUUACCAAGGCUUUGACGGGUAGCCGGCCUGAGAGGGUGACCGGCCACAUUGGGACUGAGAUACGGCCCAGACUCCUACGGGAGGCAGCAGUGGGGAAUAUUGCACAAUGGGCGGAAGCCUGAUGCAGCAACGCCGCGUGCGGGAUGACGGCCUUCGGGGUGUAAACCGCUUUCGCCUGUGACGAAGCGUGAGUGACGGUAAUGGGUAAAGAAGCACCGGCUAACUACGUG
Molecule: ribosomal RNA, 468 nt
Filed under: uncultured bacterium
Lineage: Bacteria
Description: partial 16S ribosomal RNA
Rfam family: Bacterial small subunit ribosomal RNA
Source: RNAcentral